RNAcentral lists this ribosomal RNA (253 nucleotides) under uncultured bacterium. RNAcentral's name for it is "partial 16S ribosomal RNA". It matches the Rfam family "Bacterial small subunit ribosomal RNA", at positions 524 to 776 of the family's 1533-position model. The record is from RNAcentral.
UACGAAGGGGGCAAGCGUUGUUCGGAAUUAUUGGGCGUAAAGAGCUCGUAGGCGGUUUGUCGCGUCUGCCGUGAAAGUCCGGGGCUCAACUCCGGAUCUGCGGUGGGUACGGGCAGACUAGAGUGAUGUAGGGGAGACUGGAAUUCCUGGUGUAGCGGUGAAAUGCGCAGAUAUCAGGAGGAACACCGAUGGCGAAGGCAGGUCUCUGGGCCAUUACUGACACUGAGAAGCGAAAGCAUGGGGAGCGAACAGG